UGGGGAAUUUGGACAAUGGGCGAAAGCCUGAUCCAGCAAUGCCGCGUGUGUGAAGAAGGCCUUCGGGUUGUAAAGCACUUUUGUCCGGAAAGAAAUCCUUGGCUCUAAUACAGUCGGGGGAUGACGGUACCGGAAGAAUAAGCACCGGCUAACUACGUGCCAGCAGCCGCGGUAAUACGUAGGGUGCAAGCGUUAAUCGGAAUUACUGGGCGUAAAGCGUGCGCAGGCGGUUUGCUAAGACCGAUGUGAAAUCCCCGGGCUCAACCUGGGAACUGCAUUGGUGACUGGCAGGCUAGAGUAUGGCAGAGGGGGGUAGAAUUCCACGUGUAGCAGUGAAAUGCGUAGAGAUGUGGAGGAAUACCGAUGGCGAAGGCAGCCCCCUGGGCCAAUACUGACGCUCAUGCACGAAAGCGUGGGGAGCAAACAGGAUUAGAUACCCUGGUAGUCCACGCCCUAAAACGAUGUCAACUAGUUGUUGGGGAUUCAUUUCCUUAGUAACGUAGCUAACGCGUGAAGUUGACCGCCUGGGGAGUACGGUCGCAAGAUUAAAACUCAAAUGAAUUGACGGGGUCAUAGCUGUUUCCU
This 585-nucleotide ribosomal RNA is filed under the name uncultured bacterium. Its description in RNAcentral is "partial 16S ribosomal RNA". It matches the Rfam family "Bacterial small subunit ribosomal RNA", at positions 356 to 1375 of the family's 1533-position model. The record is from RNAcentral.